RNAcentral lists this ribosomal RNA (253 nucleotides) under uncultured bacterium. RNAcentral describes it as "partial 16S ribosomal RNA". It matches the Rfam family "Bacterial small subunit ribosomal RNA", at positions 524 to 776 of the family's 1533-position model. The record is from RNAcentral.
UACGUAGGGUGCAAGCGUUAAUCGGAAUUACUGGGCGUAAAGCGUGCGCAGGCGGUUUUGGAAGUCUGUCGUGAAAGCCCCGGGCUCAACCUGGGAAUUGCGAUGGAGACUGCAAGGCUUGAAUCUGGCAGAGGGGGGUAGAAUUCCACGUGUAGCAGUGAAAUGCGUAGAGAUGUGGAGGAACACCGAUGGCGAAGGCAGCCCCCUGGGCUGAGAUUGACGCUCAGGCACGAAAGCGUGGGGAGCAAACAGG